CGCUAGGGUUGCAAUCAACGAAACAAUGAAGCCUCAAACUGUUAUUUCUCUUGCCACUCUUCUUUUUAUUGCAGAUUGUGUCAACGAAAUUGAGAGCUUUACCAUCAAUGUACCAUCUUCGAACAACGGCCGGAGAGGAGCAUUUACGAAUAAUGGCCGGAGAAGCGUUUGUCAAAUGGCAAGAGAUUUUGGAUGCGGAACGAAAUCGUCCAACAAGACCUGAGUAUGGAGCAAAAUACUUACGAUGGGAGUGACAAAGCUUUGUGAUGAUCAUUGAUAUAGACAAGGGGAUCGAAAAACCUCGAAUAUGAAGUAAAAUUAGAUGUUACAUUGAA
Stylophora pistillata is the source of this 335-nucleotide long non-coding RNA. RefSeq lists it as uncharacterized. The record is from RefSeq and is a predicted model, not a curated record. NCBI's taxonomy places the organism in Eukaryota, Metazoa, Cnidaria, Anthozoa, Scleractinia, Pocilloporidae.